This 321-nucleotide ribosomal RNA is filed under the name Proteus mirabilis. RNAcentral describes it as "bacterial SSU rRNA". It matches the Rfam family "Bacterial small subunit ribosomal RNA", at positions 1077 to 1399 of the family's 1533-position model. Lineage: Bacteria; Pseudomonadati; Pseudomonadota; Gammaproteobacteria; Enterobacterales; Morganellaceae. The record is from RNAcentral.
GGGGUAAGUCCGCACGAGGCGCACCCUUAUCCUUUGUUGCCAGCACGUAAUGGUGGGAACUCAAAGGAGACUGCCGGUGAUAAACCGGAGGAAGGUGGGGAUGACGUCAAGUCAUCAUGGCCCUUACGAGUAGGGCUACACACGUGCUACAAUGGCAGAUACAAAGAGAAGCGACCUCGCGAGAGCAAGCGGAACUCAUAAAGUCUGUCGUAGUCCGGAUUGGAGUCUGCAACUCGACUCCAUGAAGUCGGAAUCGCUAGUAAUCGUAGAUCAGAAUGCUACGGUGAAUACGUUCCCGGGCCUUGUACACACCGCCCGUAA